GAUGAACGCUGGCGGCGUGCCUAAUACAUGCAAGUCGAGCGAACAGAUAAGGAGCUUGCUCCUUUGACGUUAGCGGCGGACGGGUGAGUUACACGUGGAUAACCUACCUAUAAGACUGGGAUAACUUCGGGAAACCGGAGCUAAUACCGGAUAACAUAUUGAACCGCAUGGUUCAAUAGUGAAAGGCGGCUUUGCUGUCACUUAUAGAUGGAUCCGCGCCGUAUUAGCUAGUUGGUAAGGUAACGGCUUACCAAGGCAACGAUACGUAGCCGACCUGAGAGGGUGAUCAGCCACACUGGAACUGAGACACGGUCCAGACUCCUACGGGAGGCAGCAGUAGGGAAUCUUGCGCAAUGGGCGAAAGCCUGACGGAGCAACGCCGCGUGAGUGAUGAAGGUCUUCGGAUCGUAAAACUCUGUUAUCAGGGAAGAACAAAUGUGUAAGUAACUGUGCACAUCUUGACGGUACCUGAUCAGAAAGCCACGGCUAACUACGUG
Molecule: ribosomal RNA, 497 nt
Filed under: uncultured bacterium
Lineage: Bacteria
Description: partial 16S ribosomal RNA
Rfam family: Bacterial small subunit ribosomal RNA
Source: RNAcentral